AUAUUAAAAGGGAUAUAUGAGCUCCAUUUAGCCUAUCCACGUAGGAUGAAAAAAUCGACCAAUAGGAAGACUCAAUUUUGACACGUACUCUAAAAACAUUGGAGCGAAGUCUAAUCUACUGAACUUCCAAAAUGUAUAUUGGGUCAUCUAACUUAAAGCCCACAGCCCUUCAAACAGCUAUGACUCUUCCACCUCCUUCAUCGCUUCAAUCGCUUUCAUCCGUAACUAUCGUAAAUCUCCGUUUAGGUUUAGUUAACACCACCCACUAAUCCUCAUUCAAUUCCAUCCUUUAAUCCUAUCUUCAUGUAUAUCCUUUCACCUCCCUUUGCUUCUCAUGUUUUAUAAACCUUUUCCUCGAUUCUCACCUUGAUCCAAUUUUUAUAACCUCCAUUCAACCAAAUCAAGCAAUAGCAGUCAAAUCUCCGGCAAGUUUCCAGUGGCCCCACAUUUUAACGACAUCUCACGUACUCAAAGUUAUGAGCUGGAAAGCUGAAAGCCCUUGAACGAUGACCUCCCCUGCUAAGUUCUGCUGCGGCCAAGUUCUCGAAGAAAGAUCUCACCAAGUUCUGCUUCCCUUUUCUCUUUGCUAUGGAUGUAUGAGUCUUAGAUGAAUUAUGUUAUCUUGGCUGUCUUUAUCUCACCAACUUUAUAUUGGGAUUGGUUAUAAGUUUCAGAAAAAAAAAACUUCGAAUUGGUUUUGUAUUAAUUGUUUCAUGAUUCCAGGCUAACGUAUAAGCCGAAGUACAAAUUGAUAUUCUCAUCAAUAAAUAUGCUUCUAUGCAGGUUUCUUUAUACGAAAUACAAGAGCAGUCUAGAUUCUAUCUAUCUUAUGGAUUUUCACUUAGAGUGGACGGUCUCAAUUUCUUUGAAUAGGGGUGGACAGUUUACUUUCUGGAUGCGUCAUCGUCAGCUGAUUUUUUGGAGCGAUGAAUAAUUGGGAUGAUACAUUUGUUCCAGAGACCAGUUUCUGAAGAGAAAACUAACAAAGGAAUGGAAUUGAUCGAACGAUGCACACGAGCAGCUUGGGAGAAGGACGCAUGCAUGUUGAACUUCAGAUUUUCUGAUUCUUUAAUCCUACUGUUUACUGAUGGAACUUGGGAUUAGAUUUGAAUGAAAUUUUGUAUGUGCUGGGGACUUUUAUGCUCCCAUUUUGCAGAAGAUUCAGUAUAGGAUGAGUGCCCUCCACAUCUGUUUCUACCUUAUAUUGAAUAAUAUUUAAGCUAUAAAAAAUAUCUUCAGCAGACAGCUAAACUGCUUUUACAAAGUAUCAGUUUGGAUCAUAAUUUGUUUGUUUGACAAUAAAAUUAUAUGGUAUGCGUGUUAAAUAAAUAGCUUCUGAAAUUUAUGAUUAACAUUACUAAUAAAAACCUCAUUUUCAAUACAUGUUGCAUUAGAUGGAGUUCAGAGUUCUUUAAAAAAGGAUGGCAGUAACUUAAUUCCUCUCUGAGAGCAAAGAGCAUUAGAGUUAGAAAACUCUGAGGUAACUUUUUAACGGUUGUAUUUAUAUCUCUUCAACAAACAAAAAAAUGUUCGUAGAUAGAUGUUGGAAGAUAUAUAGUAGGAUCCUAUUUUUAGUCUUUAGGUAGCUCUGGAAAUCUAGAAGAGAUUGUGCUAUGCUGUCUGCACUAAAGAUGAAUUUGCAAUAAUUGGAAUGCAGGAUCUACGAACUUCUGUGUACAGUAAGGCACCAGGCAGAGAUAAUAUUUUUAUCAUAAUUUUUGUCGCCAGAUCAAUUCGUUUAAGGAGGAGAUUUAGAUUCUACAUGGAACCGUAACGAAAACUCAGCAUCGCUUCUUUAACUGUUAUCAUUUUUAUUCAAAAUGUCGUAGCCUUUUUGUCACUAACAAAUAGACAAGCCAAGCAGUUUAACUUCCAAGGUCUAAAAUAAAACAGCUCAUUAGUCAUUAGUUUCUUCGUACUGAUUUUACUGUGGAAAAUAUAAAAUGUUAUGAUCAUAUUUUUGAUUAGUUUAUUUACCCAUUGUCAUAGUUUAAUCUCUUAGUUCAAUUCUGUAUAACACUACAAUUCAUGGACUGUUUAGUUGCAGUUCGAUAAAACUGAGCAAGUUAUUUUUUCAUGCUUA
Long non-coding RNA from Brassica napus (rape), 2083 nucleotides. RefSeq lists it as uncharacterized. The record is from RefSeq and is a predicted model, not a curated record. Lineage: Eukaryota; Viridiplantae; Streptophyta; Magnoliopsida; Brassicales; Brassicaceae. The transcript has 5 exons.